RNAcentral lists this ribosomal RNA (1061 nucleotides) under Vibrio alginolyticus. RNAcentral's name for it is "partial 16S ribosomal RNA". It matches the Rfam family "Bacterial small subunit ribosomal RNA", at positions 529 to 1533 of the family's 1533-position model. Lineage: Bacteria; Pseudomonadati; Pseudomonadota; Gammaproteobacteria; Vibrionales; Vibrionaceae. The record is from RNAcentral.
GGGGGGCAAAGUUAUCGGAAUACUGGGCGUAAGCGCAUGCAGGUGGUUUGUUAAGUCAGAUGUGAAAGCCCGGGGCUCAACCUCGGAAUAGCAUUUGAAACUGGCAGACUAGAGUACUGUAGAGGGGGGUAGAAUUUCAGGUGUAGCGGUGAAAUGCGUAGAGAUCUGAAGGAAUACCGGUGGCGAAGGCGGCCCCCUGGACAGAUACUGACACUCAGAUGCGAAAGCGUGGGGAGCAAACAGGAUUAGAUACCCUGGUAGUCCACGCCGUAAACGAUGUCUACUUGGAGGUUGUGGCCUUGAGCCGUGGCUUUCGGAGCUAACGCGUUAAGUAGACCGCCUGGGGAGUACGGUCGCAAGAUUAAAACUCAAAUGAAUUGACGGGGGCCCGCACAAGCGGUGGAGCAUGUGGUUUAAUUCGAUGCAACGCGAAGAACCUUACCUACUCUUGACAUCCAGAGAACUUUCCAGAGAUGGAUUGGUGCCUUCGGGAACUCUGAGACAGGUGCUGCAUGGCUGUCGUCAGCUCGUGUUGUGAAAUGUUGGGUUAAGUCCCGCAACGAGCGCAACCCUUAUCCUUGUUUGCCAGCGAGUAAUGUCGGGAACUCCAGGGAGACUGCCGGUGAUAAACCGGAGGAAGGUGGGGACGACGUCAAGUCAUCAUGGCCCUUACGAGUAGGGCUACACACGUGCUACAAUGGCGCAUACAGAGGGCGGCCAACUUGCGAAAGUGAGCGAAUCCCAAAAAGUGCGUCGUAGUCCGGAUUGGAGUCUGCAACUCGACUCCAUGAAGUCGGAAUCGCUAGUAAUCGUGGAUCAGAAUGCCACGGGUGAAUACGUUCCCGGGGCCUUGUACACACCGCCCGUCACACCAUGGGGAGUGGGCUGCACAAGAAGUAGGUAGUUUAACCUUCGGGGGGGACGCUUACCACUUUGUGGUCAUGAUGGGUGACAAGGAAAAGGGAGGGAAAAAAAAAAAAAAAAAAAAAAAAAAAAAAAAAAAAAAAAAAAAAGGGGGGGGGGGGGGGUUCACCAGAGGGGGGGGGCCCCCCCGGAGGGGG